This 24-nucleotide non-coding RNA is filed under the name Cricetulus griseus (Chinese hamster). The record is from RNAcentral. Lineage: Eukaryota; Metazoa; Chordata; Mammalia; Rodentia; Cricetidae.
CACAUUGUCUCAGAAUAGCUGAAC